AUAGAAAGUAAUACACGGCCCCUGGAGGUGUGGCUUGAAGGCACAUUGGAUGCACCAAGAGGCAAGUUGAACAUGGGAUGCAGCAAGUUAGACAUGGGGUGUAAGUUGAAGCUACUGGAGGUGCCUUUGAGUGGCACGUUCAACGUGAAGCCAAGCAAGUUGAACGUGACGUUCAACACGUUGGACGUGGGGUGCAAGUUGGAUGUGUGGAUUUGUGCGGACACUAGAAGUGCUCCAUAAGUGGCACAUUCAACGUGAGGUGAGGCACGUUGAACGUGGCUAAAGGCUUGGCAUCCAGGGGAGUUUUUGUCUAGUCCAGUAACCUCUCUGUUUGCUCCAUGAACUCUCUGUUUGGUUCAGCAACCCUCUGUUUUGCUUA
Non-coding RNA from Arachis ipaensis, 379 nucleotides. Lineage: Eukaryota; Viridiplantae; Streptophyta; Magnoliopsida; Fabales; Fabaceae. The record is from RefSeq and is a predicted model, not a curated record.